UCCAUCAGUGAGGAGGUGAUGCCACAGCUCAGGGAUAUUCUAACGGGUAGCAGUAUGAAAGCUAGCUAGACGAUCCCAUGUCCACACUUGGCUAGGGGCAGACGCUGCAAAUGACUCCUCCAUCUAAGCCAAAGAAACAUUGACGUUUGAAGAGCAGACAGGCGAAAAGGGAAAGUGAGAGAGCCCGGGGCAAGACGAGAGUAAACCUCCGAUUUGCGAUAACACGCGUGGGGAGUUGAAGAGAUUCAAAACUGAGUUAGCAUUUUUUUGCUGAAAAGCGUGACAAAAUACAGCAUUUGUGAGGGCCCUGUGACUGUAGAUGGCGAUGAGGUCAACAACCUAACGUAACCAUGUUAUAGACUGAGAAGACAAGAACAGGGUGCCUUCUGAUGACCAGUGGGACACUUCCGAUGAGGAUUGGGAACCAGAGGACGACAGCUCAGAUUGUUCACCCUCUUUUUGUGUGUCUAUGAGGCUGUAACCCUACUGGCAGCACGACUGAAUCCUCAUAACCAUUGCCCAGCAUUGGAGAGCGCGGAUGGGAUGGCAAGACCUACAUGAGAAUCUACAAUACCAAGUCUGGAAGGUGGAGUGUCUACGUGUUGAAAAUGGCUACGGUGCUACAACUUCGAGAAGAUGUCACCACGCAACACAGGAUGCAGUUGGCACACCUUUGGGCGGGGAAGGACCUGAGCUUUCCCGACUGUCAGCUUUCCCUAUUGGCUCCCGGGAAGUGUGAGAACCUACAGAGUACUCAGAAAUAUUGUUGAAAGGGGGGGGCUACAACACAACAUACACACUGAGUGGACAAAACCUUAGGAACGCUUUCCUAAUAUUGAGUUACACUCCUAUUGCAUUCAGAACAAUCUCAAUUCGUUGAGGCGUGGACUCUACAAGGUGUCGAAAGCAUUCCACAGGGAUGCUAGCACAUGUUGACUCCAAUGCUUCACACAGUGUCAAGCUGGCUAGAUGUACUUUGGGUGGUGGACCAUUCUUGAUACACACCGGAACUGUUAAGUGUAAACCUAGCAUCAGUUCUUGACAAAGGCCCUUAAAUUCUUUUCAAAGGCCCUUAAAUAUUUAGCCUUGCCCAUUCACCCUCUGAACGGCACACAUACAAAAUCCAUGUCUCAAUUGUCUCAAGGCUUAAAAAUGCUUCUUUAACCUGUCUCCUCCCCUUCAUCUACACUGAUUGAAGUGGAUUUAACAAGUGACAUCAAUAAGGGGUCACAGCUUUUCACCCGGAUUCACGUGGUCAGUCUAUGUCAUAGAAAGAGAAGGUGUUCCAAAUGUUUUGUACACUCAGUGUAAAACAUGUAAAUAAGGGAAGUUUGUGUGAGCAACAUUAAACAAGUGAGAAACAAUAUUUGUACAUUCUGUAUCUAGCAUUAUAGGUAUCAUUAUUGUACUUGUAUGUUUAUUUAGUUUCCUGGUCCCUUUUCCUGGAUAUCUAUGCUCCUGAGGGUACU
Molecule: long non-coding RNA, 1469 nt
Organism: Oncorhynchus tshawytscha (Chinook salmon)
Lineage: Eukaryota; Metazoa; Chordata; Actinopteri; Salmoniformes; Salmonidae
Exons: 5
Source: RefSeq, a predicted model, not a curated record